RNAcentral lists this small RNA (76 nucleotides) under Flavobacterium succinicans. RNAcentral's name for it is "Flavo-1 RNA". It matches the Rfam family "Flavo-1 RNA". The record is from Rfam by way of RNAcentral. Lineage: Bacteria; Pseudomonadati; Bacteroidota; Flavobacteriia; Flavobacteriales; Flavobacteriaceae.
ACUUAGCCCCGAUGGAAGUGGCAUCCUUGCUGGGCGGGGUUCGCCCAGCAAGAUAUAACGUACAGCGGGACGACUC